UACGUAGGGUGCAAGCGUUGUCCGGAAUUAUUGGGCGUAAAGAGCUCGUAGGCGGUCUGUCACGUCGGAUGUGAAAACUCGGGGCUCAACCCCGAGCCUGCAUACGAUACGGGCAGACUUGAGUUCGGCAGGGGAGACUGGAAUUCCUGGUGUAGCGGUGAAAUGCGCAGAUAUCAGGAGGAACACCGGUGGCGAAGGCGGGUCUCUGGGCCGAUACCGACGCUGAGGAGCGAAAGCGUGGGGAGCGAACAGG
This 253-nucleotide ribosomal RNA is filed under the name uncultured bacterium. RNAcentral's name for it is "partial 16S ribosomal RNA". It matches the Rfam family "Bacterial small subunit ribosomal RNA", at positions 524 to 776 of the family's 1533-position model. The record is from RNAcentral.